Vitis riparia (riverbank grape) is the source of this 1310-nucleotide long non-coding RNA. RefSeq lists it as uncharacterized. The record is from RefSeq and is a predicted model, not a curated record. Lineage: Eukaryota; Viridiplantae; Streptophyta; Magnoliopsida; Vitales; Vitaceae. The transcript has 5 exons.
AUUGAAAAUUACACGAUCAUUGAAUUUUUUGUUCCAAAAUGAUUGUGUAAUUUAAAUAGCUUUGUUGAUUUGCUUUCAAUACGGAUUCACUGCAUGAAUGAUCCUAAGUUUGUGGGAGAUAUUUCUCUUUUUAUCACUCUUGUUUGAUUUGUGAACUUGUUAUCAACUCAUUCUUAUUUCUUUGAUUUUAAGGAGUAAAUGUAAUUUUGCUUAUUGUGCUUCUACAUGUUUCUUGACAAAUGCUAAAUUGUCCAGACACCUGUUCUGAAUUGCUUUUUCCAAUUGAUGCAUUGACAUGGAUGUGAUUUAUUGAAAAAUUGGGAUGACUAUGGAGAAGUAGUAUGGGGAUUGUUUCAUGUGAUUUUGUGUUCCUCACUCCUUGUAUUGAUAGCUCAGCUAUGUUGGUGGAUUAUAUGGCUGAACUUUUUGGAUAUAAAUUAUAGACUAGCUGAAUGCUUAUGAUUCAUGGUGUUCACCACUUUUCUUCUUAAUUUCUUUAGAUUCUGUUUGGCUCUUGGGGAAGGAUUAGUAAAUGUCUACAGAUGGCUUUCAUCUGUAAGCAGUUUCUUUUAGUCUCUCUUCUCAGGUUUUUCCCAAGAACCAAAUAGGGGGUUUUAGAAAUAGCAUCCAGAUAAGUGGACGAGAACCCCUUCUGUAUUGGGUGAAGCCAAGCGUAAAUUCCAGCAAAUUCAGGGAGCCUAUUCAGUACUAUCAGACCAGAGGAAAAGAACAGUGUACAACACAGGCUUGUAUAACCCUAAUGAAGAGGAGGACGAGGGCUUCUCUGAUUUCUUGCAAGAAAUGAUAUCACUUACGACCAAUGUCAAGAGAGAGGGUAAGAUCUACAGUAGGGAGGAACUACAGACUAUGUUAAUGGAGAUGGUCCGAGACUGAGUCUCCUCAGCUGUUUUGUGGGGCCUCGAUUUUUUACAAUUCUCGGAGCAUGAAGAGAGGUCGAUGGGAAACGAAAUCAAUGGUGGACAGAAGUUCACGUAUCCCUGUGUAUGGGACCAGCAGUUAGUGCAGUUAAGGAACUGGGCGGUAGCAGUUUGCUUUGAACAAUCGAGUGUAUGGCUUUGAAGGAGAGAGUUGAUACAAGUUAUGGGGCGGAUCUGAUUGAUUGAUAAUCAAAGUUCCCAUGAUUUUUGGCUGUUUCCAGUAUUUACUGGUGCACAAAAUUGAAAUUGUCAAAACAUGAAAGCUGUAAUAGAGAACCAUCUUGAUCGAUCUGAGUCCGAAACUCAGUCCUCCGUUGUGUAAAAAUUUUGAAUGAGCUUUUUAAUGGAACCACUUUGAACUAGCUUGACUAU